GGUCAAGCUACAAAGGGCUAACCGUGGAU
RNAcentral lists this ribosomal RNA (29 nucleotides) under Pannus brasiliensis CCIBt3594. RNAcentral describes it as "partial 23S ribosomal RNA". Lineage: Bacteria; Bacillati; Cyanobacteriota; Cyanophyceae; Chroococcales; Microcystaceae. The record is from RNAcentral.